Long non-coding RNA from Phacochoerus africanus (Common warthog), 1966 nucleotides. RefSeq lists it as uncharacterized. The record is from RefSeq and is a predicted model, not a curated record. Lineage: Eukaryota; Metazoa; Chordata; Mammalia; Artiodactyla; Suidae. The transcript has 2 exons.
AAAGAGACAGAUGUGCACAGAGCAUGUCCCGGGUUCACCCUGGACCAGAAAACCGUGUUUUUCUGUGGGCCCCUGAACCAGAGCGUGUCGCCUCCUCCUCUUACCAGUUUUUUCCUGUGAAACCUGGUGGGAGGGUUGAGAGGGAACUCAUGCGCCCACUGGUUUGGCCAGUCACUCACUCACAUCAGAUAAAGUCAGGUCGCCUUGGCACCCAUCUCAGAACCAGGUCACGUUCAAAUAAACAACUGGCCGAGGCUCAGAAAUAACUGAAAAGCAGUUUCCGUCUUUGCUGAAAUCUCUCAAAAACACUCCAGGAGCUUCCAUUCUUCAAGCACAUGGAUGCUUUUCUAACACCCUCCACCCCGGCGGCUCUCCGCCCGGACACCGGGCCCCAACCAGAUGGUGAGGUCGGAGAGUCUGGGCGGCCGGGCGCGGUGUUUGUUAAAACUCCCCCGUGAUCCCAGCGCGCAGCCAAGUGUGAGAACCUCCCCACGUUCAUUCCAAGCCCACCCUGCUUUCUCUACCCCACCCCACCCCCACGUCGCCGCUACCCUCAUUAAUCUCGUUGUAAAAACAAGAAUCAGAAACCAGCUGGCCCAGCCUGAGCUUUCGUGAUGGGGAGAAGCCAGGGCAGGAGUUACGGGUCUGCCUUUAAUCUGGGGGCACACACACGGGUCCGCCAACACUCGUAAAUGCCAGGCACCCCGUGACGCCCAGAAAGGCAAAAGUAUUGAAAGAAAAGGGAUGAGAGAGGACUAUGGUUUGAGGCGAGGGAGCGAGGAAAAGGCAAUUACAAUAAAGCUGGAUACAGACCGUAAAAAUGAUGGCCAGGACCAAGCGCUAACCGCUGCUGGCUUCUGCUCGCAGUCAGUAGCGUGGAUCAGCCUGCUCAGCCCUCAUCACAAACCUGGGGUGUUGGUACUGAUGUAACUUCCACUUGACAGAUGACACAACCAAAGCCAGAGAGGCUACUCAUUGGCUCAAGGCCACACAGCAGGACUCUCAUUGGCUCUGCAUUAGUCACGUGACUGCCCCCUGACCUAUCAUGAUGCUCCAGGCCAUGGACUACUCUGAUUGGCCAGCUUGGAUGACAGGAUCAACCUUGGGGGGGGGUGCAUCAAGGAACAGGGGGCCCCCAGGCGAAGAAGAGCCUUCUGAGAGGGUAGUGGAUCCCGUCUUCCAGACCCACUCGUGCUGGUCCAGCCAGGGCCAGCCCGUGCGGUCAGGAAGAUGAGGAAGAUGGACAAAGACAAACCACAUGUUUACAUACGGUUACAAAAUAAACACAAGCAGACCCCUGAUGGGUCCCAGAAAAUCCUUGGAACUAUUGGAGAACGAAAAAGAGAAGGGAAUGGGACCUUUGAAGAUGAAGCAGAAUGAAUUGGCUAUGAAACUGAGCACUAUGAAAUUAAAAGUAAUUUAAUGAAGCUCACAGACUCCUGGGGGGUUUCUACUUCGCAUCCGGGGAAACUGUGCAGAUGUGCCCCAAACGGAGGGUGUGGAGGAAGACAGAGAGCGGGACUUCCCCCUGUGGGGUCAGGGGCCUGGGAGCUCAGCUGUGGGGUAGGGUCAGGAGUCCCGGGAGGUGGGGCGGCUCCCGUCUCCAUGGAAACAGAUCCACCACCCUCCCAGCAUCCUGCCAGGAAGGCAGGGAGAGCCACCGCAGGCACGGCCCGGGGGGGCAGCACCUGACUUUGGAUCCAGGGGUCCAGACUCCCGAGUCACCUUGGAAAUCAUGUCUCCUGAACUGCAGCUUCUUCGGGUUGUAGAUGAAGUGCGUCCCAGAGACAGCAUUGUGGCCCUGCUGGGCAUGCGUCAUCGGUUGGAAGAUGAUUUCCAGCAGCGUGGGAGCAAUUUCAAAACCUUGAAUAAUCCCGUGUUCACCUUUACCGUUACCUUCUAUCUUUGUCCACCUGCCAUUGUGAGAUGGGUUUUAUUUAAAAUAAAUUCGCUCUUAUGAAACGCA